Molecule: long non-coding RNA, 1818 nt
Organism: Panicum virgatum (switchgrass)
Lineage: Eukaryota; Viridiplantae; Streptophyta; Magnoliopsida; Poales; Poaceae
Exons: 3
Source: RefSeq, a predicted model, not a curated record
GUUGCUCGUCAUCCAUCUCAGCGAUUUGUAGUGCACAUGUAUAUUGGUCUGAGAUAGCAACUGUGUGGGAUCCAGGCUAGCGCGCGACCGCAAGCUCUAGAGGUGAGCUACCGCAAAAAUCCCAACUUCAAGCCUAUUCCUUUAGAUUGGGAGCUGAUUCCCAUUUGAUACUCAUUAUUGCUUCAUUGUACAUCUAUUCCUUUCAAGCAUUUUCUGUUGACCUGGUUAGCCGUGAAGAAUUUGGAAUUCUUGUAGUACCCAUGCCAACUGUUUUGGGGAUCUGCAUAGAUUUGAUUGAUUCUAUCCAGUUUAGGUACUAGCAGGAUUGUUCCAACUUGUUGACAAUAUUACUUGUCCACCGAGCCAUACUACUCUGAUGCAUUGCUAAUUAGCCACUUAUCAUGAAUUUUGUUCUCAUAUAUCAUAGGUAGAAAAUUAUGUCAAUCAUUGUUGUGUUACUAAAAAAAACUCGGCCGGGUGGGGAAAGACCGUCCCACCGGUAUUAGCUUAAGAAGAAGCCUCGGCUUCCCCGAUCGAGAAAAUCCCCGAACCCUGGCCCCGCCCUGACACUGGGAGACGUAAUCCUUGGGAACUACCUGCCUGGGCCAUGUAAGGGUCCUCAGGCCGACCUGGGUCGUCUCACAACCAAUGCUUUGGCACACGGGGCCAGCGAGGGGAUUUUUUUACCCUCAGCCUGAAAUUCGCUCACACGGGGAGUCGAACUUAGGACCUGAGGGGUGCCGCCGGAGUGACUAACCAACUGGGCUAGCAUCCUUUGGCAUCAUUGUUGUGUUACUGUAAUAUAAGAGAUAAAUUAUGUGGUGCAUUUGUUCUAGUGAGCUUAUUUCUGCCUAUUGAACGUCUCCGUUCUUGAUUACUAUAGCCUCAGUUUGAAAAAAAAGAAGCAAUGCUCAUCAUUCUGCUCACCAUAUUAUUUUUCAUAUUAGACAUAUAUUUCUCUGAACACAGGUUUGUUUGGACAAACUGCAAUGCGCCAAUCUGAAAACCUUACUGUGUCUGAAGUCACUUAUUAGGCUUUUCUCAUCAUUAAAAUUUAUAGAUUUCAGAGCUAUCUUUUGUAGAUUUCAGUUUGGUGCUGUGAGAGCUACUCCAAUCCAAUCUUGUUGACAUUUGAACCAAUCCAGGACUUGCCACCGAUGCGCAGAGGAAGGAGAUGAAUGUGGAAGGCCACCAGGGAGACUGCCAAGCACAACGACAUGGGUUAUGCAGAGGUGACUAGUUUGACCUUACAUGUUUUUUAUUUCAUAUCAACAGCUCCUGAAAACAUUUCUUAUUUGAAUGUGUUCCGGCACUUCUAUAGUUUGAUGUGCUUAGUCCCCUCACAUAUAUCACAAUUCUUCUGGAUAGUUGCAGUAGGUAUCUCUAUCUGAAUUGUGUGCACUGUCAUAGCCGUGGGCUAGUAGCCGAGUAAUCUGUAGUGGUCAGCUCAUCAGUCAUGCUUGUAUACUGUGAAGAAGGCUGGCCGCAAGGACUGCUUGCUGGAGUUGCUUUGCCGGAGGUCGCAUGUUCUGGGGCUUGGAGAUGUUUGCUUCCCCGAAAUCGCACGCAAAGGAGUGUUGUAGCCUAGAGGAAUUCCUUGCUUGCCGGAGAUGGCGGGAGUAACAUGCGGCAUGUAUAGCUGGAUGAUUAAAUUUAGAGUAGAGGGAUAGAGCGGGUUUGGUAUACCAAAUAUUAAUGGAUCAAUCACGCAUGAAUGGAAAAAUGUAGGUUUUGGAUCAAAUGCUGAUUUUUUUAUAUGAAGGCCAAUGAGUGAAAUCAAGAAUCCUAAGGUUUAAAGACUCAGAUUUUAUUUGAACU